RNAcentral lists this unclassified non-coding RNA (433 nucleotides) under Hevea brasiliensis (rubber tree). Lineage: Eukaryota; Viridiplantae; Streptophyta; Magnoliopsida; Malpighiales; Euphorbiaceae. The record is from RNAcentral.
GAGAGAGAGAGAGAGGUCAUUUGGAAACAUCCAACUUCACAUACACUGGACAUAGGUAUAUGUAAUUACAUAAAUUUUCACAUGGCAUCAAAUGACCAGAAUAUGAUGCAACAAGAUGACUUGUGGAAAGUUCUCUGAUAGGUAUUAAAGUUGCAAGGAAAUAUGCAGCAAGUGCAGGUUAUUCAGAGAUGACGAGCAGAUCACAUAUAAAUGAAGAGACAUUGUGGAAAGUCCUGUUUUGACUUUUGAGGCGAUACCAAAUUAUUACAUGACUUGUAAACAAGCCAGGAUAUGCAACAACUUGUAACUCAAGAAAAUUCAUUAUUAAAGUAUGCAAUAUGCAAUAUGGAUAUUUAAGAUGAUAAAUAAUAAAAGAGAGGAUGGAGUUCAAGAAAUAUAACAUCUAACAAGGUCAAAGUUUUUUUUUUUUUUU